Gopherus flavomarginatus (Mexican gopher tortoise) is the source of this 2155-nucleotide long non-coding RNA. RefSeq lists it as uncharacterized. The transcript is spliced from 4 exons. The record is from RefSeq and is a predicted model, not a curated record. NCBI's taxonomy places the organism in Eukaryota, Metazoa, Chordata, Testudines, Testudinidae.
CCGAGGCAGGGCAUUGCCCCACACACACACACACACACACACAGCGGGGAGGGUGGAUCCCACAGGCAGGAGCCGCAAGGGCUAAUAUUCUUGCAUUACGAUUUUGUGUCAGGGUUUUGUUACGGCUCCCGCCUGCGGGCUCCCCGCUUCUUUGCACCGGCUCCAUUGGGAUCUGCCUGGAUCCUUUCCCCAGGUUCCGGGUUGCAAUCUCUUCCCAGCACCACCCCAUCACUACGGCCACAUCAGUCACCAUCUCGACCCUCUAGCAGACCCCCCCCCCCCGCCUGCCCAGACCUUGGACACUGACAUUUUUCCACGGGGCCGCCCAGAGGAUUCAGGGGGCCUGGGCAAAGCAGGGGAGUUGCGGUGCUUGUACUCACCAGGUGGCGGUCCUGGUCUCUGGCAGCAUUUCGGCGAUGGGGAGCCCUUCAGUCGCUCUGCAGCUUCGGCAGCACUGAAGGGCCCCCCGCUGCCGAAAUGCCAGCCGAAGACCCGCAGCGCCACCGGGCCAGGGCUCGCGGGCCCCCUGCGGGGGCUGGGGCACUUAUCCCCCCGCUCUGGGCGGCCCUGUUUUUCUACAUCAAUCCUUGGCCGGCCUGCUCUGCUCCCGUGCUGCUGACGCCAGCUCCGAGCCAAGGCCGUAGGGGGUUACAGAACACUUCUGUCCUGCGAGGGUGUUCUGGACUCCCCGGGGGAAGGGGGACCCUAGAGAAGACCAGAAGAAUGGCCCAGACUAGGUCAGCCCUAUGGUCCGUCCAGCCCAGUGUCCUGUCUUCCGACAGUGGCCGGUGCCAGGAGCUUCAGAGGGAACGAACAGACCCGAGUGAUUAGCAAGUGAUCCAGCUCCUGGCCUCAGUGCUUAAUUUGUGAUGAAAGAGGAGCUGGCGCUCAAGCAAAUUUUUUUUUUUUACUUUCAUAACGGAUGCAGCAAGCCCCAAGGUGCCGGGGCUCUGAACGGCCAGGACCAGAGGUGCCGGGGCUCUGAACGGCCAGACCCAGAGGUGCCGGGGCUCUGAACGGCCAGGCCCAGAGGUGCCGGGGCUCUCAACGGCCAGACCCAGAGGUGCCGGGGCUCUGAACGGCCAGGCCCAGAGGUGCCGGGGCUCUGAACUGCCAGGCCCAGAGGUGCCGGGGCUCUGAACUGCCAGGCCCAGAGGUGCCGGGGCUCUGGACGGCCAGACCCAGAGGUGCCGGGGCUCUGGACGGCCAGGCCUAGAGGUGCCGGGGCUCUGGACGGCCAGACCCAGAGGUGUCGGGGCUCUGGACGGCCAGACCCAGAGGUGUCGGGGCUCUGGACGGCAGAGCCCAGAGGUAUCGGGGCUAUGAACUGCCAGGUCCAGAGAUACCGGGGCCUUGGAAAGCAGAGCCCAGAGGUGUCGGGGCUAUGAACUGCCAGGUCCAGAGAUACCGGGGCCUUGGAAAGCAGAGCCCAGAGGUGCCGGGGCUCUGAACGGCCAGACCCAGAGGUGCCGGGGCUCUGAACGGCCAGACCCAGAGGUGUCGGGGCUCUGGACGGCAGAGCCCAGAGGUGUCGGGGCUAUGAACUGCCUGGUCCAGAGAUACUGGGGCCUUGGAAAGCAGAGCCCAGAGGUGUCAGGGCUCUGAACUGCCAGGCCCAGGCUCUGGACGGCUGAGACCAGAGGUGCCGGGGCUCUGGACGGCCAGGCCCUGACACAGCUGCCUGUUGUCCAGUCUACACUUCUGGCAGCCAGAGGCCCAGGGACUGAGUGGGGUGUGGGAUUGAUUUGUGUUGCGGGGGGCGAGGGGGAUCAGUGUGGUGAGUUCCCCCAGUAAAACCAGAGCGGAAGUCUGAGUGGAACCCCCCCCGCUGGGUCAUUGGCUGGGACCAAACCUGGGACCUAUGGAUUCAAAAAGCAGGCGCCUCUGCUAAUUAACCCAAAAGACCAGACUCGCAGUAGCUGACUCCUGAGGCACCAAACAAAGUCUGACCAGUAGAGGGCAGCAGAGAGAUUUGGGGCACCCCCCCCACCCCCAGGCAAUAUUUGGUGAGUGCUGGGGGUGGUGGGAGGCAGGAAGGAUUCCCCCUCUCUCCACUGAGAUCAUGGGGCUGUGUAUGGGCAGGCUGUGGGGAGGGGCCUGAUCCCAGAAGGUAAGAGCAGGUGCUGAGCAGCUGAGGACUGGGGAAGUAGUGACA